This 4110-nucleotide long non-coding RNA is filed under the name Heterocephalus glaber (naked mole-rat). RNAcentral's name for it is "lncRNA (ENSHGLG00100050795.1)". Lineage: Eukaryota; Metazoa; Chordata; Mammalia; Rodentia; Bathyergidae. The record is from RNAcentral.
CACCCCGCCCCCUGCCCUUCCCGAGGGCAGCAGCCGCGGCGGCCCGGAGAUAGCGCUGGCGCGGCGCGGGCUCUGCCUGGGCUAGUGGCACCGACUUGGGAAAGGAAAACAUUGAGACAGAAGAAGACUGGAUCUUUUCCCAUAGGAAGAACCAUGAUCAGCCCUGUUGAAAGACUGCAGAAGACCCACUACUUGUGAAGGCCCACACAUUGGAAAUAUGGGAACUUCUCUCCUGCCACAGAGAACAAAAGGAUCAGAGAAACUGAAAAGCACAAGGCGAUAAGAGCUCUGUCAGCAAAUCUGACCCUGGAACCCUCAGCCAACUUUCUGGGGGCAGGAGACCCUGGGGAAGGAGAAGAGAAUCUACUGGUGAGUUCUGCUGGGACUUUAUGGGGCAUUGUUUUUAUAGCCCUAACCCUGAAUCCACCAGCCCUUUACCCAAACCUAGGUAACCUCCCAGACUCUGACCUGCUCCAUAACAGCCUUCUUCUGUCUCUCCUGCAUCCAUGUGAGAGGGGAUACCAAAUAGCUGACAAGUCCUCUGACUCCUGGCUUCAGAAUACCGAACAAGUGGAAGCAAACUUACAACUGUCUUCUGCCACAACUCCACCUGAAGCCUUUAACCUCCAUCCCUGCUUGAGACUCAGAAUCCACGCUGGGCCCUUUUCCCUUCUUCAAACUUGCCCUUCCUGUCUUGAAAGGGAGAGCCCCCAGCCUUGGAGCUCCUGGCAUGAGCCCGAGUUGAGUGGGGAUUAGACAUCCUGCACUUUGCUGCUCAAUUUCGCUCCUGAAAGAUCCACUAUGCCACCAUGCACCGCCACCGCCUCCGCCGCAGCUGCCGCCGCCACCACCACCACCACUGUGAGUCAGGCUGAGUAUUGUAAUUAUUAUGGUUAUUAUUAUUGUCGCUAUUUGCUUAUCCCGAAGUCUAAUAUUCAUGGCUGGUGUUCCCCAUAAAUCCUUCAGAUUAAUGAGUCAAAGAGAGAUGUUGCCUAGGUCUCUACCUCUGCAAUGGCCGCUGCCGCGCCGCCGUGGCCUUUUUCUCCGCGGUUUUGGCGUUCGCUUGCUCCCUCGCUAGCCCGGCGCGGUUGAUUUAUGAACGCCCGGAAAAUUGAACAAAGCUGCGCGCCCGUCCUGUGGUAUCUCUGCAGCCUUCCCCAGCGUGAAUCUGAACAUUACCAACUGUCUGCGCAUCCGUCCCACUUCAUCACCAAAGCCAGGAUGUGACCACAAAAAAGAAAAAAAACCAACAACCCAAGCCCAAACUCACGUUUCCCCGACACAGCGCGCUCCCUGGACUCGCAGAAACCCUGCAGAAAAGCACCAGGACCCAGCCUGAGCCCGCCAGCUCUGGUUCUCCUAGCCACAGGGCUCUCUCCUUCCUUCCUGAAGGAGUUAAAAGCCUUUGAAGAUAAAUCUGAGGAUGCGUGUAUUUAAAAAUCAAAUAGGAAGUUGGAGUCUCACUUCAGAGAUUCAUUCCUAGUGAGGCCCUGACUACUCCGAUCCAUUCCUGACGAUCUGCAUUAAUUAUUUAAUGAAUCACGUGACCUCGGAGAUUACAAUUUCAAUAUCUCCCUGGAACAGGCGUUACACCUUUAUCAGCUGCAACCAGGGUCCGUGUUUGGUUUUUUGUUCCCUAGGCCUCUGGAGCACAUUCACCCUUGUGUUGAUGGGGCAAGCAACCGCCAAAGAAAUUACGGGUAGAACACAGCAGAAUUAGUCAUUAUGGGGUGAGGAGCGUUGUGGACAGUAGGGAGCUCACUGCUCUCCAAGGCAUCCUGAAGUCCAUCAGCUCCUGAGACCAGUGGUCAGCCACCUGUCUGAGUGCCAAGUCUAGGGCAGUUUGGUUACAUAAUCUCCCAAGGCAGCUUUUCAGGUACAUUGGGUAAGAACUUACCCUUCCAAAUCCAGGUUACACACACUCCUAGCCUUUCACAUCAAGGGUAAACCCAAAUACAUACUGUAUCCCAUUCUCUUGGAGGAAUAGCUUCUGCUUUGAAAAAAAUGACUGAGUUUACCACAUCCGUGUCCAAGGUGAGAUUAAAGGCUUUUCUCAGCCUACACACUCAUUAACAUAAGAAACGUUGGGAAGUGGAAUAUUCAACUGCCUCAGUUUCCUCAUAUGUAAACUGAGAAGACUGAACCCAAAUGGCUUCCAGGUCUCUUUCAACUUGGACAGUCAUUCAUUCUGGAUUCUCCUUCAACUCUAGGAAGCAUUCUAGAGAGAAGGGGGCUGGCCUGAAAGGGAAGAGGGUGUGCUGAGUGAGUCUGGAGCCUUCAGAAGAGAUGCCAGAAUUCCAAGCCAGAAGUUGCAGACUAGAAGGUUUGAUGACUUAAUGCUAUCAAGGAGACAGAACACACAACUCCCCCCCCCUUCCUGCUCCUCCUCCUCCCUCCAUUGUUUCCAGAUCCAGAGCUUAUCCUUCGAGGUGCAAAGCAGUUACUCUUGGAGCAGUAUGUUGUGGAGAAAAGGUAUCAAGAGCAUCAGUUAGGAAAGAUGAGCUUGAGUUCUUCAAGCCCGAGGGUGCCCGGGAAUGCAGAGACCAAGGAGGUGCCAAAGAGGCCCUAUUGCUUGCACAGAACCCACUCAUUCAAAUGGGAAGCCCCAGGUUUCUAUUCGCUUCAUUCAUUCUUUGGAGGUUUUCUUUCAUUUUAGAGAGUUGAUUUGUUUCUGUGCUGGCACAACUAGAAGGAAGGCAGCAGUAAGAAAAGCAACACAGUUUGGAAGUUUUGGGGGAUCUAGGGGCUCAGGAGAUAUGGUGAUUCCCAUCCCUUAGGGAGAAGGGUGAGAAGUAGGGAGAAUGGGGCACCCUGGGACAGCUGGAUAGAAAGGCAGAUAUUGUGCAGCAGGCCUACCCCCAUAUAUUUAGGGAAUCUUCCCACGAGCUCCAUCCUGGGUAUUAAGUACUCUACUAUGCCCGUCACAGUUGAAUUCCUGCUGUAAUAAAACACCGGGUAUAUGGUAGAUUUCAGCAAAACUAGGGAAAAAAGCCUGCAAAGUGCCAUUUUUCUUCAAGGGGGAGAGUGUUAAGUACUUAAUUCAAACUGUGACCAUUAAAGUGUCUCCUAUCCGACUUAGGCUGAUUUCAGAUGUUGACAAAACUUUUAUCUCCAGAGUCAUGCACAGCUUGGCUCUGAGACUAAAGCAGAUGAGUGUGUAUUAAAGAGAGGGAGGGAUAAAGAUGGAGAGAGCAGGAGAGCAUGUGUAAAGGUCAUCAUAACAGGAGAAAUACAGAGCUUACACAAAAUACUGUCUUUAAAGGUCAAGGGUUUGAGGGGUUAGUAAGGUUUACCUUAAAAAAAAAACUAAUGAGAUAGAAAAUUUGUCCUCUCAAUGAACUCUUAUGGUUGUCCUAGCAGAGGGCAGACAAUGCAUGAUUUUGAAGCACAAAGAGAGAUUUCUUAAGCUGUUAUUACAAGCUCCCUUAAAGGCAAAAUCUGAAACAGACAAAACAUUGUGAAGAAAUGACAUAAUCAGUUGGAUCACUUUUGAUAAUUUUGGUUUAUAAAGCUUACCAAUAUCUUACCAUUUUGAAAAAAUGCCGCUUUAUUCUAGAAUAUCACAAAAAUGGUCUCAACCCUCUCCUAUUCUGGAUAGACUACAAGAGCAAGAGAAAGAAAUCACUCCCUUUAUUUUCAUACUACUGCCUCCAGCACGAAGCUAAUGAAUUUCCCUAUACCCUUCCUCCCCACAAAGGAGAAAUAUAAGAAUUUACCUUAAAUGAUGAUAAUCUGCCAUUUGAGGUUUUGCAGCUUGACACUCAAUUUCCACCAAGAGUCUAGGUAUUUUUUUAUUUUAGCAGAUAGCCAAGAUGCUAUGUCUUUGCCUGAGACAUUAUUUGCAAGAAGAUCUCUCUCUCCUUCACAGACUUUUCCCAGAGAAUGCCUUUCAGAAUUGCUGUUGAAUUACAAAGAAGUAUUUAUUGUAUGAGGUGAUUAAUGAUUCCUGGGAAAAUUGCUAUUUUCAGCAUGAUUUAAUUUCGUUUUACAAGUGCGUGUAUAGGGGGAGGGUUAAUAAGUUUCAGCAGCAGUUGCAUUGCCUCCAGAAAUGCCUGGCACCCAUUCACACCUUAUUAAAUGCAUUUUAUCCCAGGUUUUUCCUGAUUUGAG